CACCUACGGGAGGCAGCAGUGAGGAAUAUUGGUCAAUGGCCGCAGGGCUGAACCAGCCAAGUCGCGUGAGGGAUGACGGUCCUAUGGAUUGUAAACCUCUUUUGUCAGGGAGCAAAGGGCGCCACGUGUGGCGUUUUGCGAGUACCUGAAGAAAAAGCAUCGGCUAACUCCGUGCCAGCAGCCGCGGUAAUACGGAGGAUGCGAGCGUUAUCCGGAUUUAUUGGGUUUAAAGGGUGCGCAGGCGGAAUGUCAAGUCAGCGGUAAAAUCGUGAAGCUCAACUCCAUCCAGCCGUUGAAACUGAUGA
Molecule: ribosomal RNA, 305 nt
Filed under: uncultured bacterium
Lineage: Bacteria
Description: bacterial SSU rRNA
Rfam family: Bacterial small subunit ribosomal RNA
Source: RNAcentral